This 431-nucleotide ribosomal RNA is filed under the name uncultured bacterium. RNAcentral's name for it is "partial 16S ribosomal RNA". It matches the Rfam family "Bacterial small subunit ribosomal RNA", at positions 29 to 507 of the family's 1533-position model. The record is from RNAcentral.
AACGAACGCUGGCGGCAGGCUUAACACAUGCAAGUCGAGCGCCCCGCAAGGGGAGCGGCAGACGGGUGAGUAACGCGUGGGAACGUACCUUUUGGUUCGGAACAACUCCGGGAAACUGGAGCUAAUACCGGAUAAGCCCUAACGGGGAAAGAUUUAUCGCCGAAAGAUCGGCCCGCGUCUGAUUAGCUAGUUGGUGAGGUAACGGCUCACCAAGGCGACGAUCAGUAGCUGGUCUGAGAGGAUGAUCAGCCACACUGGGACUGAGACACGGCCCAGACUCCUACGGGAGGCAGCAGUGGGGAAUAUUGGACAAUGGGCGCAAGCCUGAUCCAGCCAUGCCGCGUGAGUGAUGAAGGCCUUAGGGUUGUAAAGCUCUUUUGUCCGGGAAGAUAAUGACUGUACCGGAAGAAUAAGCCCCGGCCAACUUCGUG